Molecule: ribosomal RNA, 2555 nt
Filed under: Escherichia coli
Lineage: Bacteria; Pseudomonadati; Pseudomonadota; Gammaproteobacteria; Enterobacterales; Enterobacteriaceae
Description: partial 23S ribosomal RNA
Rfam family: Bacterial large subunit ribosomal RNA
Source: RNAcentral
CCGAGAUUCCCCCAGUAGCGGCGAGCGAACGGGGAGGAGCCCAGAGCCUGAAUCAGUGUGUGUGUUAGUGGAAGUGUCUGGAAAGGCGCGCGAUACAGGGUGACAGCCCCGUACACAAAAAUGCACAUGCUGUGAGCUCGAUGAGUAGGGCGGGACACGUGGUAUCCUGUCUGAAUAUGGGGGGACCAUCCUCCAAGGCUAAAUACUCCUGACUGACCGAUAGUGAACCAGUACCGUGAGGGAAAGGCGAAAAGAACCCCGGCGAGGGGAGUGAAAAAGAACCUGAAACCGUGUACGUACAAGCAGUGGGAGCCUCUUAAUGGGGUGACUGCGUACCUUUUGUAUAAUGGGUCAGCGACUUAUAUUCUGUAGCAAGGUUAACCGAAUAGGGGAGCCGAAGGGAAACCGAGUCUUAACUGGGCGUUAAGUUGCAGGGUAUAGACCCGAAACCCGGUGAUCUAGCCAUGGGCAGGUUGAAGGUUGGGUAACACUAACUGGAGGACCGAACCGACUAAUGUUGAAAAAUUAGCGGAUGACUUGUGGCUGGGGGUGAAAGGCCAAUCAAACCGGGAGAUAGCUGGUUCUCCCCGAAAGCUAUUUAGGUAGCGCCUCGUGAAUUCAUCUCCGGGGGUAGAGCACUGUUUCGGCAAGGGGGUCAUCCCGACUUACCAACCCGAUGCAAACUGCGAAUACCGGAGAAUGUUAUCACGGGAGACACACGGCGGGUGCUAACGUCCGUCGUGAAGAGGGAAACAACCCAGACCGCCAGCUAAGGUCCCAAAGUCAUGGUUAAGUGGGAAACGAUGUGGGAAGGCCCAGACAGCCAGGAUGUUGGCUUAGAAGCAGCCAUCAUUUAAAGAAAGCGUAAUAGCUCACUGGUCGAGUCGGCCUGCGCGGAAGAUGUAACGGGGCUAAACCAUGCACCGAAGCUGCGGCAGCGACGCUUAUGCGUUGUUGGGUAGGGGAGCGUUCUGUAAGCCUGUGAAGGUGUGCUGUGAGGCAUGCUGGAGGUAUCAGAAGUGCGAAUGCUGACAUAAGUAACGAUAAAGCGGGUGAAAAGCCCGCUCGCCGGAAGACCAAGGGUUCCUGUCCAACGUUAAUCGGGGCAGGGUGAGUCGACCCCUAAGGCGAGGCCGAAAGGCGUAGUCGAUGGGAAACAGGUUAAUAUUCCUGUACUUGGUGUUACUGCGAAGGGGGGACGGAGAAGGCUAUGUUGGCCGGGCGACGGUUGUCCCGGUUUAAGCGUGUAGGCUGGUUUUCCAGGCAAAUCCGGAAAACCAAGGCUGAGGCGUGAUGACGAGGCACUACGGUGCUGAAGCGACAAAUGCCCUGCUUCCAGGAAAAGCCUCUAAGCAUCAGGUAACAUCAAAUCGUACCCCAAACCGACACAGGUGGUCAGGUAGAGAAUACCAAGGCGCUUGAGAGAACUCGGGUGAAGGAACUAGGCAAAAUGGUGCCGUAACUUCGGGAGAAGGCACGCUGAUAUGUAGGUGAAGCGACUUGCUCGUGGAGCUGAAAUCAGUCGAAGAUACCAGCUGGCUGCAACUGUUUAUUAAAAACACAGCACUGUGCAAACACGAAAGUGGACGUAUACGGUGUGACGCCUGCCCGGUGCCGGAAGGUUAAUUGAUGGGGUUAGCGGCAACGCGAAGCUCUUGAUCGAAGCCCCGGUAAACGGCGGCCGUAACUAUAACGGUCCUAAGGUAGCGAAAUUCCUUGUCGGGUAAGUUCCGACCUGCACGAAUGGCGUAAUGAUGGCCAGGCUGUCUCCACCCGAGACUCAGUGAAAUUGAACUCGCUGUGAAGAUGCAGUGUACCCGCGGCAAGACGGAAAGACCCCGUGAACCUUUACUAUAGCUUGACACUGAACAUUGAGCCUUGAUGUGUAGGAUAGGUGGGAGGCUUUGAAGUGUGGACGCCAGUCUGCAUGGAGCCGACCUUGAAAUACCACCCUUUAAUGUUUGAUGUUCUAACGUUGGCCCCUAAUCGGGGUUGCGGACAGUGUCUGGUGGGUAGUUUGACUGGGGCGGUCUCCUCCUAAAGAGUAACGGAGGAGCACGAAGGUUGGCUAAUCCUGGUCGGACAUCAGGAGGUUAGUGCAAUGGCAUAAGCCAGCUUGACUGCGAGCGUGACGGCGCGAGCAGGUGCGAAAGCAGGUCAUAGUGAUCCGGUGGUUCUGAAUGGAAGGGCCAUCGCUCAACGGAUAAAAGGUACUCCGGGGAUAACAGGCUGAUACCGCCCAAGAGUUCAUAUCGACGGCGGUGUUUGGCACCUCGAUGUCGGCUCAUCACAUCCUGGGGCUGAAGUAGGUCCCAAGGGUAUGGCUGUUCGCCAUUUAAAGUGGUACGCGAGCUGGGUUUAGAACGUCGUGAGACAGUUCGGUCCCUAUCUGCCGUGGGCGCUGGAGAACUGAGGGGGGCUGCUCCUAGUACGAGAGGACCGGAGUGGACGCAUCACUGGUGUUCGGGUUGUCAUGCCAAUGGCACUGCCCGGUAGCUAAAUGCGGAAGAGAUAAGUGCUGAAAGCAUCUAAGCACGAAACUUGCCCCGAGAUGA